RNAcentral lists this long non-coding RNA (25749 nucleotides) under Ananas comosus (pineapple). Its description in RNAcentral is "long non-coding RNA (ACOM_LNC011727)". Lineage: Eukaryota; Viridiplantae; Streptophyta; Magnoliopsida; Poales; Bromeliaceae. The record is from RNAcentral.
UCGGAAACCGUUCCUUUCUCUACUCGUUUCCCGAAGCGGAUCUCUGACUGAGUCAGUGGUCCAGAAAUCACUACAACAAAAACAGUCUAUAGCGACACUUUUAAAUAUCGGUACAGGUCAAAAAAAGUACUGCUAGUUAAAUUACCGACAGUUUUGAAUAGUGUCGCUAUAUGUGGGUUCGCUAGGUAUAUAGUGACAGUUAAAGAGUAUUGCUAUAGGCUAAAAAGAGUGCUGCUAAUUUACCAACACCUAUUUAAGCAUUUAACAACCGCCGGAACUCUACCUCGUUGGCUGCGGUGGCGGAGGAGGACAAGAGGGAAGAGAUCUUCAUCUAAGAUUUCAGUAGAUUAAGUGAAGGGAGAAUGGGGAUGGUAAUUGAUUUUUUUUUUUCUUUUUUAUUUGUAAUAGGCCGAAUGGGCUAGGUAGGGUGGGUUGAGUAGAGUAAUCUUUUAUUUUUGGUUGGAUUGAGCUUUAUACUUAGUCAUUAGUAUAUUUUUUUUUAAGUUUUGAUAUAAAUGAGACACUUAUAUAAAAAUGUUCUAAACAUGUGUCUCUAUAAUUUUAUUUUGUUGCAGUGAAUUCGACUCCCAACAGCUCAAUUUUUAAUAAUGACUAGUGAAAAGUACCAUUGAACAUGUCCAAAGGCCAUGGCUCUUGGUGAAAUAUGAAUAUUUCUGUUCAGUAACUUUAGUUUGACAAAUUUAAUGUCUGAUAUGGUACAUGCUAUUAUUAAAUUCUACAAUACUUCACUAAUCAAUAUAUUUUAGUUCUGUUUGAAAUUCAGUUGGACAAGUUAUAUUUCUUAGAGGCGUGCUACAAAUACAAUACACCACUUAGAUCAUAGCUAUUAACUUUUUAAAAAAUUAACGGCUGAGAUGUCACUUUGACUUCAUAAGAACCGACUAUUGAAGCCCGGUACGAGUCAUCCAAUAGGAAUAAAAAAUUACUAGUGAUCCGCGCAAUGCAGCGAAUAAAUAUAUUAUAAUUUUUUAAAAUUUAAAUUCGAAAUUUUAGAUCCUUAUAUUUCUAUAAGUUAUUUUGUAAAGAGUAGAAUACAUUUACUUUAAAAGUUUUAGUAAUUUUAAACUAUAUUAAAAAGUAUGAAGAUUCUUUUUUGAACAUUUCAAUUUUUUACACUGAAGCAUCACGAUAGAUAUCAAAACACAUUUAUUUCUGACAACUUUAUAUAGAUGGCUUAUUAUAUAGAUAGUGACGUGUAUGUUUAAUAAGAAACAAUAGAAAAUAUAUUUAGCAAACAAAUUCUAAUAUAUUCAUUAGAUUGCGCUAAGUAUGGCGUUAGGUUGCGUAAUAAUUGAUCAUUGCAAAACUUCUAAACCCUAAUAUAAACAAAUCUACCAAAAUUUUCAAUACAAUCAAAUCAUUAUACAAUGGAGAUAUUAUGAUUUGUAAACAAAAAUAAAUAUAAAAAUUUAUAACAUAGUAACCAAAAUAUUAAAAGCAAAUAUUAAAAAAAUAUAGAAAUCCUAAAAAAAAAUUAUCUUAAAUUUGAAGAGUCGAAUCUCACGUAAUUUAAAAUAUACUGUACGGUAGAAAAAUCUGAUUAAACAAAUAAAACAUCAAAUUCAAAUCAAAGAAAAACAUUUCAAAAUAUAGUUAAUCGUUACAGGCAGAUACGGUCAAUUUUCUUGAGACAAAAUAAACAGUAUUUAGUAUAUCAUUUUUUAUUCAUCCAAAAUGAGUAUGAAUACAACCCUUUAUAUAGACUCUAAAAUAACAUUUAAUAUUCUAGGAUGACUUUUCAUUUUCUUGUAUUAAAAUAUAUGACUUUUUAUAUUUCCAACUUUUUAAAUUCUUAAAUUUAUUAAGUUAUCCAAUAUUUCAACUUCUAAUUAAUUUUAAAAAAUAAUAAAAAAAUUGGUGGGUCCGACACCAUUAAUUUAAGGGGUAGUAGGGCCACAUUCCCAAAUCAACGGGAUGGUGAUCUAUCCAUAGAAAAAAAAAAUGAUGAAUGAAAAAAUUCAAUUAAUUUGAAAAAAUAAAAAAAAUAGAUGACUUUUCAUAUUUCCAACUUUUGAAAUUCUUCAAUAUAUUAAGUUAUCCAACCUUUCAACUUCUAAUUAAUUUUAAAAAAAUAAUAAAAAAAUUGGUGGGACCCACACCAUUAAUUUAAGGGGUAGUGGGGUCUAUCCCCAAAUUAGAGGGAUGAUAAUCUAACCAUAAAACAAAAUGAUAAAAAAAAAAUUCAAUUAAUUUGAAAAAAUAAAAAAAUUAAUGGGACCCACACUCCUAAAUUAAAGAGGUUGGGCCACAUCACUUUUAAGAACAUAAGAAUUCAUAGUUUUAUAUAGAUAUAGAUUUUGGUGCAAUGAAAUUCCUCAAUCAUAUCUUAAGAAUGGUAUUAUGAACUUUUAUAUUUCUAAAUUUAUUCCUAAUUUAUUCCUAACUAGCGUAGGGACCUACGCUAUGCGACGGAUAAAAAUAUUUUAGUAAAAAUCUAAAGAGUACAGAUUUAAUAAACAAAUGUUAAAAAGAAACAGAAGAAAUAAUUAAAAUAUUAUGAAAGAUAAUAAAUAAUGAGAGAAAAACUAAAGAAGCUUAAAUUCACAUUUAACUAAUCAUAUUUAUCUAUUCUAUCAUCUUUCCUAACUCAAAUUAGAUUUCUUUUAAAAGCCAAUCAUUAUGCGGGCGGUUUUAGAAGAUGAGGGGUCUUGGAGGUUGGAAAAUGAGAAGGGAACGGUUUUGAAAGAUGAGGGGUCUCAGGAGGUUGAGAGAUGAGAGGGGAGCAGUUUUAGGAAAAGGAGGUCACGUCACGUCAGCAAGAUAUUGAGAAUUCAUAGAUUAGUAUAGAUACACCACUUAGGGACUGUUUGGUUACAUGCAUUUCCAACCGCUAUGCAUGCAUCUAUUAAUUUUUUGUUUGGUUUGGUGUAGUUAGGUCCAAUUGCUGCCGUUGCAUCUAUACGGAAAGGCCCAACUGCAGCAGUUGGUACUGCAGCCAAUUUUGACUGCAGUACCAACUGCUGCAGCUGGGCCGGAGUCAACUCACCCAUUAAAAAAAAACAAAGUGUGAUUUCCUUUUCAUUCGUUUCUUUUUUAUUUUUUUUUAAAAUACAUAUUCAUGAAAUCGGAUAGGAUUUAGUAAUAUUUGUUAGGGUCAAUAAAUUUUUUUCAUACACUUCUUAUUUUUCAAUCAUCUAGUUUAAUAAUAUUUUUAUUUUUAUUUUUUACCAAAUUUAUAUAUUUAUAUUUAAAAUUUAUUAAAUUCAUACUUAAGUUUAUAAUAUAUAAAUUAUAUAUAGAUUUAAAAGUCUUAAUUAAUAAUUAAAACAUGAUUACGUCAUACUCAGAAGAAGUAAUCUCACAUUUCUAUCAAAAAAUUGACAGAAUUUAUAAAUAUAAAUCUCAACUGCAGACUACCAAACAGAAGAAAUAUAACUACAGUAGUUGCAACUGUAUAAACCAAACAGACUAGGUGUAGUUAUGACUGCAGCAUUUAUAACUGUAUGUAAUUUUAAUUACACUAUUUUUAUAACUACAUCCAACCAACCGGCCCUUUAAUGAUUUUUGGAGAGAGAAAUCAACUCCUUUCUUUUGAGGUUAUGGUGUUACGGUGUCGAUUUUGAGAGAACUCUCUAUCUAAUUACACCAUGUUAUUUAAAAAGAAAAAAAAAACUUUUAAAUAUAGACAUUCGAAUUGUGAAUUUAAUAUUGGAAGAAAUUAAAAUUUUGAAAUUUGAAUCAAAUUCAAAAUAUCCUAACAUAUAUAGUACCAAUUAAAAUAAAACUUUCAAUUCAAAUUACAUUUCCAUUUCAAUUUAAAGAAAGAAGUUGGUUUCGUAAGUUAUAGAGCAUAUUAAAUUCAAAUUUAAAAUUAAUAUUCAAAAACAGAAACUUUAUAUUUAACUAAAUAAUAAAAGUUAGGUUUAUAAGUAAUAGUACAAAUUAAAUUCGAAUUUAAAAUUCAAAUUUAAUUUUCAAAAAUAAAAUUCUUUAUUUCGAAAUAAAUAAUAAAUUUUGAAUCCAAAUUGUUAAUUCAAUAUCGAAACAACAUAAAAUUUCGAAAAUCUUAAUCAAAUUCAAAUUUGUCUUGACAAUAAAUUCAAAUUGAUAAUAAAAACUUUUGAUUCAAUUUUGAUCAAAAACUUACAUUUCAAAUUAAAUUUUAAAUUCAAAUUUAGUUUAUUUAUUGAGGAGUUAGCUACUUAACAAAUUAGCCACUAUCUAAUUACAUAAGUCGGGAAAUCAAGUAAAGAAACAAAAAAUUGUAGGGCACAUAAUCGGCUAGUAAGGAAACAAAUUAGCCAUUUCAAUUCAAAUUUAGCAUUCCAAUUUCAACCUAAAGUGAGAAGUUGGUUUCAUAAAUACUAGCGUAAAUUAAAAUAAAAUUAUAUUUUUCAAUUUAAUUUUCAAACAUAUAAACUUUAUGUUCAAAUAAAUAACUAAAAUUGGGUUUAUAAGUAACAAUAUAAAUCAAAUUCGAACUUAAAAUUUAAAUUGAAUUCAAAAAUAAAAGUUAUAUUUAAAUAAAUAAUAAAUUUUGAAUUCAAAUUUGUUAAAUCAAUAUUGAAGAGUUCAAAAUUUUAAAAUAAUGGCUUAAUUACACUAUACUAGCUUGUACUUCACAAAAUUUUCACUUUCUACUGUGUACUUUUUUUCUUCUUUUUUUUUUUCACCGAAGGCACCACUCAACCAUCUUUUUUUCAAUUCCUAGGAUUAUUGGGGUGUCACAAACUCUCCACGUUAAGGCCCUGGCGUCCUUGUUAGUCCAAUCACACACACAGCCCAAGAUCACCAGGCGAUGUGAGACUCGUCUCGCUAGCCCGUCAUCCAGACCCUAGCUCAGCAGAAACUCGCCACACAUGUCCAGUUGAUGAACCGGCUCUGAUACCAAAUGUAACGACCCGACCCGCUAGCAAUAAUAACUCGUUGGGCCCAACCACCAGCCUAAAAUGCUUAUGCCAGUUAUUAUUAGCAGCGUGGAGGUCUCAUAUAAACUGAUCGGAAUCAAUAUCCUAUCCGAUGUGGGAUUAUUGGGGCGUUACAAACUCUCCCUGUUUAGACCCUGACGUCCUCGUCGGGUCCAAACCAGAUCACAGACAGACAGACCAGAACCAGGACCAUUACCAGGCGAUCUGAGAUUGUAGAGGUGGCUCCUACGGGUUCAAGAGGUGGCUCACACCAAACCCGUUGGUGUAGCACUUUGUCCCGCAUAGCACUUAGUUCUCACACUUCCGGCUAGUAUUUGCUCUGAUACCAAUUGCAACAAUCCGACCUGCUAGCAACAAUAACUCGUUGGACCCAAACCACCGGUCCAAAAUGCUUAAGCCCAGUUAUUAUUACUAGUGUUUAAGUCUCUUAUAAACCCAAUGACAACAAUCUCAUUCCCAUCCGAUGUGGGAUUAUUGGGGUGUUACAGACUCCCCCCAUUAUUUCCAUCCGAUGUGGGAUCCGUUAAGGCCCUGACGUCCUCGUCAGUCCAAUCACACACAUCCGAUGUAUCCGAUGUGGGAUUAUGUAUCCGAUGUGGGAUUAUUGGGGUGUUACAGACUCCCCCCGUUAAGGAUCUGACAUCCUCGUAAGUCCAAUCACACACACAGCCCAAGAUCACCAACCGAUGUGAGACUCGUCUCGCUAGCCCGUCAUCCAGACCCUGUCUCAGCCGAGACUCGCCACACAUGUCCAGCUGGUGAACCGGCUCUGAUACCAAAUGUAACAACCCGACCCGUUAGCAACAAUAACUCGUUGGGCCCAAACCACUGACCCAAAAUGCUUAAGCCCAGUUAUUAUAACUAGCAUGUAGGUCUCAUAUAUUCUAAUCAGAAUUAGUUUCUCACCCGAUGUGGGAUUAUUGGGGGCGUUACAAACUCCCCCUGUUUAGACCUUGACGUCCUCGUCGGGUCCAAACCAGAUAGCGAUGUGAAAUUCUAGAGGUGGCUCCUACGGGUUCAAGAGGUGGCUCCCACCAAAUCUGUUGGUGUAGCAUUUUGUCCUGCAUAGCACUUAGUUCUCACACUUCCGGCUGGUAUUUGCUCUGAUACCAAAUGUAACGACUCAGCCCACUGGCAAUAAUAGCCCAACACUGGCAAUAAUAACUCGUUGGGCUGUUGGCCGCAUAGCACUUAGUUCUCACACUUCCGGCUGGUAUUUGCUCUGAUAUCAAAUGUAACGACCCAGCCCACUGGCAAUAAUAACUCGUUGGGCCUUACCAACAGCCCAAAAUGCUUAAGUCUCAUAUAUUCUAAUCAGAAUUAGUUUUCCACCCGAUGUUGGACUAUUGGGUAGAAUUAGUUUCCCACCCGAUGUGGGAUGUGGGACUAUUGGGGACGUUACAAACUCCCGACGUUAGUCUAAUCACACACAGUUCAAGAUCACCAGGCGAUGUGAGACUCGUCUCGCUAGCCCGUCAUCCAGAUCCUGGCUCAGCCGGGACUCGCCACACAUGUCCAGCUGGUGGACCAGCUCUAAUACCAAAUGUAACGACCCGACCCGCUAGCAAUAAUAACUCGUUGGGCCCAAACCAUUGGCCCAAAAUAUUUAAGCCCAGUUAUUAUAACUAGCGUGUAGAUCUCAUAUAUUCUAAUGAGAAUUAGUUUCCCACCCGAUGUGGGACUAUUGGGGGCAUUACAUAAAGAAUAAUAAAAUACAUAAAAAUUAAAAAAAGGAAAUAAAACAAUAGAAGCCGUAAAUGAGUAUAGCAUAUAGCAUCAAUUUAUAUUUUUUUCUACUAUUUAAUUAGUUCUUUGAAAAAAAAUUGUUAAAUUUUGUCUCAACUAAUAGAUUUGUUAACAAUAGUGUAGAGAUUGGUCAAAUUCUUUUAACCAAUGCCUUUUGAAGGAAUUUGGUUUAAAUUCUUUCCUCUCAAAAUCAUUAAAAAGAUGCUAGAUAUCAUAAAUACUUCAUAAAAUUUCAAUGUAUUCUAACUCAUCCAUCAAACCGUCCCAAAUUGGACUAUUUAUAAUGAUUGAUUGGAUGGAAUUGCUAGUUUAACAAUUAAAUGUAAUUCAAAUAAGUUAAAAAUUUGUUAGAAAAUUCUUUCUUAGAGAGAAUGGUGAUUUUGACUAGGCUUGACAAACGAACGAAUUGAAUAAUCCGUAGGUGGAUUAUUAUAUUCGCAGGUCAUAUAGGUAUAAGUAAAAUUUAUCCAUAAAUUUUUGCAUAGUCAAUAUUUUUUUACCCGUACACACCCAUGAGCGGUAGGACGAGUAUGCAGGUUACCUGCAAAGACUUCUUUUUUCGCUCCUAUACUUUCCAAAUCAAAACAGAUAAAUAUAUUUUUUAAAAGCAUGAAAAACAUAAUUUAUUUAGUAAAGUAUCACAACAUAUAAACAAUAUAAAAUUUUAAAAUGCAUAAGUUAUAUAUAAAAGUAUUUUAUCAUUCCAAAUUUUUGAGAUACAAAAUUAAUUAAGUUUUCGUGAUUAUAUAGUCAAUAUUAUAAAGAUUACACUUUUUAAUUAAAAAAUAUAUAUGCAGGUAUUCGUAGGUAUAAGCGCGUUGCCCAAAAUGCCCACAAUUUAACGGAUACCCACCAAUUUUACUUAUAAUUUUUUGGGUAGGAAAAACUAGUAUCCAUAUCUGCAAAUUUGCUAGUAAUAUGCGGAUACCCGUGAGUACGGAUAGAGAUUGUCAAGUCUAACUUUGACAGAGACUAGAAUACUUUUUAAAAGCAAACCGAUGCUUUUACUUCCGCACCAUUUUCAGUGAUGGAUCAUCAAAACUGAUGAUCGGCGCCAUUACAUGAGCUAGACUAUUUGAACUUCGCAAAAAUUGAAUUUUGUAAUUUUAAGAUAUCAUUUAGGUCAAAUGAUUGAAGCCUAUUUUUCUCUCAAAAAAAAAAAAAAAAAACAGAUAGCUCGCUAUCUUUCUCUUAAAAAAAAAAGAAAGAUGGUAUUUGCCUAUUCACCAUGUGUUGUCGAAUUCAUCUUAUAUUAAUCAUAUAAAAUUGUCAAUAUUUAAACCACUUGAAUACAAAACAAAUAAUUUCGAAAAAUUACAAAAUUUGAUUCCUAAAAGAUUUAAAUAAUUUAGAUCAGGUCUCGAUGGUCUUCGGAUGCCCCAUCGCGGAAAACAAUGACCUCAUUUUUCUAUUCCUAUAAACAGGAUGGUCGAGUAAAAGUUAAAAUAGAUGAAUGGAUGAUGGAUUCGUGAAUACGCUACACUCAAGGAACAAUUUCUCAUUGCCAAAUGAAUUUUUAGUGUUCUUAAUUAUUAUGGCAUGUGAGAUUUGCACACACAGCAAGAAUAUUCACAUUAAUUAAUCUACAUUAUCUUAAUUGGUGCUAAUUAAGGAUAGACUUCUUGAUGAUGAACAAGAGUUUAUUUGAUCACAAAGACUGUCAUGAAUAUUAGUCAUGUAAUAUUUGCCCUUCUCUGCUAACUUUUUUUGUGGGGUAAAUUGCAUGUUUGGUCCUCAAACUAUGAGUCUGGUGAAACUUUGGUCCUCAAUUUUUAAUUUGUUAUAAUUUUUGCUUGAAUUUUAAAAAUUAUUGCAAUUAAGUCCCAAACUUAACUUUGAUGGCCAAGUUUUAAUAGAUUGUUAAUGUAGAAGUGACGUGAAAGUGUUGUGAUUGAGAAUACAUCAAUAGUUAAGAUGCUACAUCCCAUUUACAUUAAUGAUGUAUCAAUAUAUAGUCAACUAAAUUAGGUUGUGGGACUUAAUUGUUGUAAUAAUUUCAAAAGUUUGGGGCACAAUUGCUACAAAUUAAAGUUUGGGACCAAGAUUUCACCCACCUUAUAGUUUGAAAACCAAACGUGCAAUUUGCCCUUUUUCUUAAAAUUAUCAUUUGUGAUGUACCUGAUUUGUAUUUCUCGGACAAAAAAAUUAGUUAUUUCUAUAGCCCUAUUAAGUACGCAUUUAAAGUUGUUUUUUCAUAAAUUUUUAGUAUUUAUUUUUGUCUACAAAAUCAUCACUAAUUUUCAAAGCUUUUACUUCUAAGCUAUUUUUAAGUUGUUUUGCUUAUGCACUAACAUUUUGAUUCUUUUUUUGGCAGAUUAAAUGCGCGACGAGAUCAAUGCACUGAAUUUCUAAGCACUAAAAUCUUUAAGAACUUUCACUACCAAGAAACAAUAAUGGCCGAGGUUGCAAUACUUUUAGCCAUUCAAAAGCUUGGUCUUGCAUUAGGUACAGAACUGCUGAACCAAGCUAGCUCUCUAUUUUCACAACAACUAGCAUCAUUGGCAGAGCUCCCUAAUAGUAUGGAACGCAUGAGCCGUGAACUCCAUGUGAUUCAUGGAUUCCUACUUCACAUCGAUAAGGUAGAUAGAAAAAAUCAAAUCCUAGAAGCAUGGAUAGAGGAGGUACGAAAAGUCGCAUAUACUAUUGAGGAUAUUGCGGAUGAGUAUAUCUAUCUUAUAGUUCAAGAUAAGCAACGACAAGGUGGACUGGUUGGUUAUAUGAAACAAGUGUUGAAGCAACCAAAAUCGUUUAAUAUCUUGCCUCGUAUUGCCUCUCAAAUAAAACAAGUAGAGAACGGCCUUGACCACCUCUCACGCUUAAAAGAUCGAUGGAUUCAAACAACAAGUAUUGGGCAUAGUACUAGUUCAGGUAAUGUGAGCGAAUGGACACAACAUAUGGGAAGCUCUUCUCUUUUCAUGGGUGAGGAACACCUCGUAGGGAUUGAGGAAGACCGAGAUACGUUAACUUAUUGGUUGAAGUCUGAGAAAUUGGAUCUCUGCAUAAUAACAGUGUGGGGUAUGGGCGGGCUCGGAAAAACUACUUUAGUCACCAAUGUUUAUAAAAGAGAGAGUAGAAAUUUUGACUGCUUUGCCUGGAUUUCUAUUUCUCAAACUUUUAAAGCUGAUGUUCUUUUUCGAAAAAUGAUUACUGAACUCUUUGGCGACCAAAAGAUAGUUCCAACUGACAUUGCCACCAUGGAUGAUAGAAAGUUAAGGGAGAAAGUAAAAGAAUUAUUAGGCCAAAAAAAGUAUCUAAUUGUACUAGAUGAUGUAUGGGACCCGCGAGCAUUUUAUGAAUUGCAAGAUUCUCUUGUUGAUGAUCAGAAAGGAAGUAGAAUAUUUAUUACAACCAGAAAUGAAGAAGUAGCAUCACUUGCAAACAAAGACUAUAAGCUUGAACUCAAACCUUUAUCCCCUCGUGAUGCGUGGAAUCUUUUCUGCAAGAGAGCAUUUAGGAACGAAGGAAAUCAAAAAUGUCUUCGGGAGUUAAAAAAAUGUGCAGGCAAAAUCGUGGCCAAGUGCAAAGGGUUGCCACUAGCUAUUGUAUCACUUGGCAAUCUCCUGUGCUUAAGAGAGAAUAGAGAGACUGAAUGGAAGCGAGUUUGUGAUCAGCUUAAUUACGAGCUUGCAAACAACCCAAGUCUCAAUCCCGUGAGAAACAUCUUGAAUUUGAGCUUCGACUGUCUUCCAAGACAUCUAAAGAAUUGCUUCCUCUCUUGCAGCAUGUUCCCAGAGAAUCAUCUUCUUAAAAGAAAAUUGCUUAUCAGGCUAUGGAUAGCAGAGGGUUUUGCAGUAGAAAGAGGAUCAAGCACGGCUGAGGAAGUUGCAGAAGGAUACCUCAUGGAGCUUAUCCGUCAGAGCAUGUUGCAAGUAGAAGAGAAGAACCACUUUGGUAGGGUAAUGUAUUGUCGGAUGCAUAAUCUUGUUCGUGAGCUGGCUGUCUCUUUAUCUGAAAGGGAGAAGUUUCACAGUAUUUAUCAGGAUAACGGGAGGGAAAGGGUGGUCGAUGCUAAUGCCCGUCGCCUGUCUGUUCUCAAAUGCAGCAAUGAUAUUGGAUUCGACAUUGAUCUACCACGGCUACGAACCUUUAUAGCAUUUGACACUACUAUGCCAUCAUCCUCAUUUUUACCUAUGUUUCCAUCCAAAUCAAGGUAUAUUGCAAUUCUGGAACUGCAAGGCUUUCCUAUUGAGAAUAUACCCAAUGCUAUUGGAGACUUAUUCAAUUUGCGAUAUUUGGGUUUAAGAGAUACAAAGGUAAAAUUACUACCAAAAUCCAUUGGCAAGCUUUCCAACUUGUUGAUCUUGGACCUCUGUCGAUCAGCUAUACAAAAGCUGCCUCGUGAGAUCACGAAUCUCAAGAAGUUGCGGCACAUGUUUGUUGAGAGGGUAAAUGACCCGACCGGAAAAGCCUUUCGCUUGCGUAGUGGUGUACGUGCACCAAAGGGUUUGUGGAAUUUAAAAGAAUUGCAAACGUUGCAGGCGGUUGAAGCAAGUAGCGAGUUGGUUGGGCGACUAGGAAAUUUGACCAACCUAAGAAGCUUUAGAAUAUGGAAUGUAAAGGAAACCUACUCUGCACAACUGUGUGCAUCAUUAUCACAGAUGCGUAGUCUUUCCUACUUAAGCAUUAAUGCAAGUGAUGAAAAUGAGUUUCUCAAUUUGAAAGGCCUGAAUCCCCCUCCCACGAAUCUUAAAAAGCUUACUCUAACAGGUAGAUUGGCAGCAGGAACGAUGGAGUGUCCUUUGUUCCAAGAUCUCCGAGAAUUAUGUCUAGUUUGGUGUCAGCUAACUGUGGAUCCACUUCCGUCACUCGCUCACUUAUCAAACCUCACUUACCUACUUCUUCAAGGGGCGUAUAAUGGGCAUCAGUUGUGCUUUCGUGUUCAGUGGUUCCCUAAUUUGAAGCUGCUUCACUUGAUUGACCUGCUGCAACUCGAACGAGUGAUGAUAGAGGAGACAGCCAUGUCAAACUUGGAAACUCUAUAUAUGGAAGACCUCAAAAAACUAAUAGAGGUCCCAGAAGGCAUUGAAUUCCUCACAUCGUUGCGGAAGCUAGUUUUGUAUGAUAUGGAUCCUCGUUUGACCAGUGGUUUAGAAGAAAACGACAAACUUGGACACAUCAGCUCCAUCUAUACUAAGUAGGAAGCACUCGAGGUGCCUUCUUUUCGCCUGGAUUCACUCACAAGUAAGUUUCUGCAUGUUUAAUUCAAUUGUGUGAAUAUCUUGCUCACAAAUUUCACCCCCGUGCGUUCUUUUACAAAGUUCACCAAGUUUUCAUGUUUAAUCCAACACUACUUGCGUACGACACAUAAACUAUGUUAGUAUGCAUAUCUUAUGUCUAAUUUAUUGAUUUUCUCUUCUUUGAUUUGAUUUUUCUUCGUUUUAAUCUCAUUUGGAUCCACAAGCAUAUGAUUAAUAUAUUUUUAUGAACUUAAAUUCCAUAAUAAAAUUCCUAGUUAGGCAAUUGCUAAAACAUUGUUUUUUUCAAUACAGUAUAGUUCUGAUCUCAUAUUUAUUUAGCCAACAUAUAAAUUGCUAGGAACAUAUGGAAGUGCGAGAAAAGAGCGAGAGUAGCGAGAUUAGAAGUGUAGGGAGUGAGGAAGGAGGUCAGGAGAAGUUAAGGAGGAGCCUGUGUCGAGAUAAGGGGAGGAAGAAGCGGAAGUCGAAGAGGCUAGCUUGGGCAGACGAAGUAGGUGGAAAGUUAUUGAAGGUCUUCGACAAUCAUGAUGACGAAGAUGUGGCCUUUCACGCUGCAUACGAGGUAGGUGGAAAGUUAUUGAAGGUCUUCGACGAUCAUGAUGACGAAGAUGUGGCCUUUCAAGCUGCAGACGAGGUAGGUAGAAAGUUAUUGAAGGUCUUCGACGAUCAUGAUGACGAAGAUGUGGCCCUUCACGCUUCCACCAAAGGUGACUCCCGAGGGAAAAAGGUAGGUUUUAAUGAUGACCCCUCCUAGGCGUGCUUAGGGCUUCACCUAAGGGGGCUGGGAGUGGGAGGCCGGCCUUACCUGCUUUCAGCAAAGGAGACCGCCGAGGAAAAAAGCUUGGUUUUAAUGAUGAACACCUUUUGGGUGUGCUUCGGGCUUCGCUAGAGGGUUCGGGGAGCGAGAGGUUGGUUUUACGUGCAUCCAGCAAAGGCAUCCCCCGAGGGGAAAAAGUGGAGGUUAAUGCAGAUCACCCUCCGGGAGUGCUACAGGCUGCGCCUGACGGCUCAAGGAGGGGGAAAAAGACCAGGGGGGAAAGUGGCGACAUUUACUACCCUAAGCUUGCUUCUGGGUCCUAUAAGGAGGCGCUGAUGAGAGCUCCGAGAAAACAGCCUCCUACUAACACUCGCCAAGCUUUUCGUAUAUCUCAUCCUUCUGGCCUCACGGGUUUUCCGAACCGUAGACGAGAGGUGAGGUGCUUCCGGUGUCUCGCGAGAGAUCACAGAGUAGCGGAGUGCCGCGACCCUGUGCGGUGCUCCAGGUGCUGGAAAACGGGACACCGAGCUCGCAGCUGCGGAGGACUAAGGAAGAGAGGUCACUUCGGCAUGAAUAGGGAGGUGCACCGUAGAGCACGAGUACCCCUGCCGAAGGUGUACAUUCCGUACACGGAGGAGUACCUGCGGAGAGUGGAAAUGAGACGGAAUGCCAUCCUUGCGGAUGUGAUCCAGCCGGCUAACCUUGGACCGGAUCCUAUUUCUACCAUCAAGAGUGCCUUGGCGAGUCGGUUCGGGGGGUACAAAGAUGACUUCGCGGUGGCGCGUUGCAGGGAAAGGGAAUACGCAAUAUUCCUACCGGAAUGGGCCCUGGCACCAGCGCUCGUCCGAAGGGAAAUCCUAACCCUCAACAACUUCUGGUUAAGGGUUUACCCCUGGGGUCAGUAUCGCUAUGUUCGUCCACACCCUGCUCGCUUUCGAGCUUGGAUCCGUCUUAUAAAUCUUCCAUUCGAGAUAUGGUCGGUGGCGCGCGUGGCGACGCUAGUCAGUGGUUUUGGACGCUUCAUAAAGGCGGACGGAGUGACCAAGGCGAUGACGGAUUUUCGAGCUUUUCGGUGCCAAAUCAGCCUUGACUCGAUCGGUGCUAUCCCCCAGAACCUAUUGGUCAUUAUCGGCGACGAACUGUUCUCGGUUAUGGUCCAUCUGGAGAGCUAGGAACGGAUAGAGAACGCGGGGAUUCCGGCACCCCCUGCGAACGGGCAGGAGGACGACGGGGCGCUGAUGGGAGACCGGCAAAACAGGCAACCCGAUAUUGGAGGAAACAGAGGAAAUGACCAGACGGACGAAGAGAUGGAAAACGAGGAGGGAGAGCUAGAGGAAGUUGAGCCCGCUCUGUCGACGCAGAGGGGGAGGGGGACCUCAAGGGCUUCUAGGCUGCCCAUGGUUACCGACCUGGCUUCUGCGGCGGCGAGGUUUCGGGCGACGGCGAGGGUCUGCGCGGUGCAGGGACGAGUGGUCUGGGUGGCAACGGGCCGUUCCUGUGCGAGAUUCGAGGCCUCAGGUGAACCCGAAUCGAGGCACGCAAGGAGAGGCGGGCCUUCCAAGACUUGCAGGAUUUUGGACUGUUGGUCCAGUGGGUGUUGGGGAAAGCCUCUCUCUCUCUUUAGCUCUCGUUCUGGGGGCGUAUCUCGGGAGAAAUUCUCUCCUAGCAGGGUGGGUGAGGGGCCCAUUGUAUUUAAUGCUAAUAUGGGAUUUGAUGUGGCCGCAUGUAUUACUGAAACUAAGUGGGAGGGAGGAAGGCAUAGUGCUCGACUAGCGAGACUCUGGAGACUAGCAAUGGGCGUCUGCAGUAUCCCGUUUCGACUUUUGAAUCAGGUGCGGCGCAAGGAGGUACCUUAGUGCUACCUUCCACGGCGGCGGACUUGGUCAUGACGGGGGCAUCAUCGAAUCUCCUCUUGGUCCGUUCCGGCGAAGACAGCCCCCUCCUUAACUUCCGCCGUCGCAGUGAGCGCCUUAAUAGUGUUGACAAGAGCUCGGUCCUGCACAAAGCUAUGUCGUGGAAGGCUAGGCUACUGGAAGGUGAGGGCAGCAGGGUGGUUGACCAUACUGUUCGAAAGGCCAUUCAUAAUAGUCGGUCCUGUGGGGUGAAUCUGGGAGUGGCGAAGGCGGAAAGUUUCGUCGGCUUCGCAGCUUAUUGUGCUUAGGGUGGGACGGUCUGUUGGUUUACUGGUUGACCUUUGGGUCUCUUGGGGUCUUGGGGUUCAGGGUGUCUUAGUGUCUUUUUAGAUGUUUCGUGUUUGUAGUUGGAAUGUUAGAGGGCUUAACGACCCGUCUAAAAGUAACGCCGUUAGGGCGGUGAUCUCUAAGUUAUGUAAUGCGGUAGUGUGUCUUCAGGAGUCUAAAGUGAGUCAUGUUUCGGGAUCCUUUCUGAGAAGCUUUGGUGGUUCGUUUAUCGACAAAUGCGUUUUUGUGGAAUCUAAUGGUGCCUCUGGGGGUUUAAUAUAUUGCUGGAGUUCACGUGUCUUCUCUUGCCAUGAAGUCAUUGUGCGACGAUUUUCCAUUACGACACUGCUGACUCAUGUAGCAUCGCAAGCUAAGUUCUUUGUUACUAAUGUGUAUGGACCCCCCACGUAGGAAGGCAAAGAGGAGUUCUGCUCGGAGGUUGCUCAAUUGAAAGUAUGCUGCACGGGGAAAUGGAUUGUCUGUGGAGACUUUAAUAGUACUAGAGGACAGAACGAGCGGAGGGGGAAAACCUGGAGCCUAAAAGCAACCCACAUAUUCAACGAUCUUAUUAAAGGACUGGCUCUGAUCGAUCUGCCUAUGGUGAACCAAUCCUUCACCUGGUCUAACAUGCAGACGAACCCGACUCUAGCUAGACUCGACCAUUUUCUAGUUUCGACCGAAUGGGAUUUGGAUUAUCUGCUGACCAAGGUUGAAGCCUUACCCAGAGUGACGUCAGAUCAUUACCCUAUUCUGUUGACUACCAAGCGAUCCGAUACGCUGAAGAACAAGAACAAGAUCUUUCGCUUUGAAGAGGCAUGGUUGAACCACGAGGACUUUGUAUCAAAAGUCUUGGACUGGGGGAGGGAGGGGGCUCAGAAGAAAUCGGCUGUACUAGCUUUCGCCGAGAAACUUAGACACUGUAGAACAAGAAUUAAAGAGUGAUGUACGAACGAAUUUUACAGCAUCCGUGGACUUAAAUCUAAAAUUAUGGGAGAGAUCCAGGAAAUCGAUGGCUGUGAAGAACUGCGGGAGCUAUCACAAGACCAGUACUCGAAAAGAGAGGAGCUCAAAGAUAAACUUCGGAAGGUCUUAAACGACGAGGCGGACCUGUGGAGAAUCCGGGCCAAACAGCACUGGCUGCAGGAGGGGGACGGAAACACUAAAUUUUUUCAUUCCAUAGCAAACGAAAGGAAAAGAACAAAUGGUAUUGGUACGAUUAAGGACAACGGAGGUGUGUACCAAUCAGACGACGAAAAGAGGAACUAUUUUUAUCGCAAAUUUAAGGAGCUCUUCACGUCGGAUGCGACGACCCCGACUUCCUUUGGGGAUUGGAGCGGCCUCUUCACCACGAACCGCGUGUCCAAACCCAAUAUAGCCCGUCUGACCGAACCAUUUAGUACCGCAGAAAUUAAGGAAGCAAUAUUCCAACUAGGGAGCGACAAGGCGCCAGGUCCGGAUGCAUUUCCGCUAAGGUUUUAUCAACUCUUUUGGGAUUCUUUAGAAGGGGAUAUAUCGGCGCUCUUCCGCGACAUGCAUGAGGGAAGACUUACCACUGACCCUAUUGACUACUCGUUCAUCUGUCUCAUUCCCAAAAAAGAGGGGGCGGAGCGGGCGAGCGAAUUCCGGCCUAUAAGCUUACUUAACGGUAUCCAGAAAAUCCUGUCGAAGGUCUUGGCUAACCGGCUGGAACCGAUUAUGGAUGACCUUAUUUCCCCUUCCCAGUCGGCAUUCCUGAAGGGGAGGAGCAUAUCUGACGCCUUCGUUGCAGCAUCUGAAUUACUUGGCUGGGGAUGUAAGAAGGCUAUCGAAGUGGUCGGGUUGAAGGUGGACUUCAAAAAAGCUUACGAUCGGAUCAGUUGGCCUUUUCUAUUCCAAAUUCUAGACUGGUUCGGCUUUGACACUAAAUGGAUCGAUUGGAUCAAGCUUUGUGUGUGCUCGGCAAAAGUAGCGGUCUUGGUUAACGGAGCGCCAACUAAGUGGAUUAAGACAAAAAGAGGGGUUAGGCAAGGGGACCCUCUAUCCCCCUUUCUUUUCUUGCUAGUGGCUGAGUGUUUGGCCAGGAUGACGACUGUAACAUUUAAUAACAAUCUACUCAAGGGCUUGGGUCCAUCCGAGGCGAGUAGGAUAUCCAUCAUCCAGUUCGCGGACGACACUUUCUUCUUCUGCGAAGCUAAAAAAAGGUAUAUUAGAAAUUUGAAGUUCUUGUGGCAGCUGUUCAAAUGGGCCACUGGAAUGAAGGUCAAUAAGGAGAAGUCAGAACUGUUCUAUACGUGACGAUUUGAAGGAAAGGCAAGAAGCCUGGCGGACUUACUUGAGUGUAGUGUGGGUACCCUCCCUACCAAGUAUCUUGGUCUUCCACUAUCUAGUAGAGCUCCUUCGAAGGCGGACUGGAUGGGAGUAAUCCACAAAAUCCAAAGUAGAAUCGACGGAUGGCAAGCUAAACUUCUCUCCAGAGGAGGUAGACUGGUGCUGGUGAAUGCGGUCUUAACCAACAUACCUCUAUUUUACUUGUCUACCUUCAAGGAGCCCAAAUGGGUGAUCAAACGCAUUGAGGCACUUCAGAGAGACUUCUUUUGGAAAGGUAGUAGCCACACCCCAGGCAAGGGUAGCCUGAUUGCCUGGAAAAACGUCUGUAUAAGCAAGAAAGAAGGAGGGCUCGGUAUCUUGGACCUAGCCGUUAUGAAUCAAGCGCUACUUGCCAAAUGGUGGUGGAAGUUCCACACAGCACCUCAGCUACAGUGGAGCAAGAUUAUCCGCGAUCUAUAUUACCGCAAAAGAAGACCAUUAAAGGAGGGAAGAUCCUUUAGGCCCCGGUCACACUGGUGGAAAGGUGUCCUAUGUCACUCCGAUAUCUUCAAAUGGGGAGUAUACUAUAAAUUGGGGAAUGGAAGCACUAUUGAUUUUUGGUUGGAUAGAUGGUGUGGGGAGAAGACCCUGCAGCUGGCCUACCCAGAGGUGUAUGAUACGGCAGAAUGCAAGACUGUUAAAGUUAAGGAUUGUUUGGGAAGCGGUGGGUGGAACUGGAAUAUGAUUCUAGGAGGCGAAGGCGUAGGUAAUCAGGUUUUGAGCCCCACCUGGUCAGAAUUUUAGGAUCUUAUCUCUGCUAGCACAGGUAAUCAAAACCCUGACACGAUCAUUUGGCGGUGGGACCCCGGGGGGCGUUUCUCGGUAAAGUCGACAUACUCUACGCUGACGGACGGAGGUACGAGGGAUGGCUGGGCAAACGCACUGUGGAGGCUUCGUGUACCCCUAAAGGUUAAGGUGUUCUGCUGGCUCGCCCUUAAAAAGAGACUACUUACGGCUGAAAACCUUAUACAAAGAGGGUGGAGCGGUGACACGACUUGCGUCCUGUGCGGUUCUGAGGAGGAGAUCGUGGACCACUUGUUCUCAUUUUGUGUCUUUGCUAAAUUCAUUUUCGUGAUGGCACUGGAGGGUGACCAAGUUCUGGGUUCGGGAGAUGGUGUUCUAGGGGUGUGGGAUAGAUAUACGAGUUCGAAGAGCACACAUUCUAAGUUUACCAAGCUUCCGGAACUAGCGGCUUGUUGGUGGAUCAUCUGGGAGAGCAGGAACCACGUGAUCUUCAGGACGACCCAGCCGGAUCCCCUGGGAUCUUUCGGUAAGGUUAAAAGGCUGGUGGGGCAUUGGGAACUAUUGCCGUAGAACCCUUUUUUUUUUUUUUUUUUGAGGUCUAGCUGCCUCACUCCCGUAGCCUAAUUCAUUUGAUCAAUGAAUGAAGCGGGUAGCAAGCUACCUUUUUCUCAAAAAAGUAAAAAAAACAUAUAAAUUGCUACUGCAGAGAAAAUAUUAUAAACCAAAUAUAUUCGUUCAAGUCCUAGAAAGAGGCUUUGCCAAUUUAUUGAAAUUCACAAUUUAUAUUUUUAUUUUACUGUAUGCUUUCUAUUGGCAAUGGUCAUAUAAAUUGGCUAUUCAUUACAUACUAGUGAACGCCUGCGCUUCGCGGUGGAAAAUUUACGUAAUUUUUUAUAUAUUUUAGUCAAUUUUUUUUAAUUUUUAAAUUUUAAAUUUAAUUUUAAAUUUUAAACUGCAAGAAAUUGAAGAAAGAGGACAAUUAAAAAACUUAUUUUAUAUGUAUUAUUUAUAAACUAAUUAAUUAUAUCAGAAUAAAUAAAUUUAAUUAAUUAUUUAAUUUAUAGAGUUUAAAAAAUUAAAAUUUUAAACUUUGAAGUUUAAAUUUGAAAUAAAUAUUAUAUAUCAACAUUUAAAUUUUAAAUUUAAAUAUAAAGUAUAAAGUUUAAAAAGUAAAAAGUUAAAAAACUCUCUCUCUCCCUCUCUCUCUCCCUUUCUCUCUCUUCCCCCUGGCUCCCCCUCUCUCUCUCUCUAGAAGAGAGAGAGAGAGAAAGAGAGAGGACAGAGAAGAGAGAGAGAGAGGGAGGAGAGUUUAUAUGUAUUAUUUAUAAACUAAUUAAUUAUAUUAUAUAAAACAGAAUAAAUAAAUUUAAUUAAUUAUUUAAUUUAUAGAGUUUAAAAAAUUAAAAUUUUAAACUUUGAAGUUUAAAUUUGAAAUAAAUAUUAGAUAUCAACAUUUAAAUUUUAAAUUUAAAUAUAAAGUAUAAAGUUUAAAAAGUAAAAAUUUAAAAAACUCUCUCUCUCCCUCUCUCUCUCUUUCUCUCUCUCCCCCCUGGCUCCCUCUCUCUCUCUUUCUCUCUCUCUCGCUCUCUCUAGAAGAGAGAGAGAGAAAGAGAGAGGGGGAGAGAGAGACAGAGACAGAGAAGAGAGAGAGAGAGAGGGGGAGAGAGAGAGAGAGAGGCAGGGCGGGGCGUAGGUUCCAUCGAGCCCGCCAAACGCGGGGAGAACGCCGUACGAACUCUUCUUUCAUUAUAUUUACUAGUGAAGUCCCGCGCUUCGCGGCGGAAAAUUUAGGUAAUUUUUAAAAUCUUUUAAACAAACUUUUUUUGCUUUUUUAAUUUGUUAAUUUAAUUUAAAAUUUUAAACUUACAAAAAAUAAAUAUAAAAUUAUAUAUAAUAAAGAAAUAUACAUUAUAAAUAAAAUUAUAUAUAUAUAAUAUGUAAGUUAAAAUUAAAAUUUAAAAUUUAAAAUUUUAAAAUAGUAAAAUUCUCUCUCUCUUUCUCCCUCUCUCUUUUUCUUUCUCCCCUUACUCUCCCUCUCUCUCUCCCCGCGCACGCUCUCUCUCUCUCUUCCCCUCUCUCCCUCUCCCCACCUCCCCUGGUGCUCGCCCUCGCGCCCGCGCGCCCGCCCCGCUGCCUGGCCCGCGCCAGCGCGCCAGGCCUGCUGCUGCCCCCCGCGGCUCCGCGUCCCACUGCUGCCCGCCCGCGCCUCCGCCUUCGCCUCCCGCUGCCGCCCGCUGGGGAGAGGGAGAGAGAGAGAGAGAGAGAGAGAGAGAGAUGGCGGGGGGAGUAAAAGAGGGAAGAGAGGGGAGAGGGGGGUGGGGGGGGAAAGAGAGGGAGAGAGCAGUGGGGGAGGAGGGAGUGGUAAAGAGGAAGAGGAGGGAGGAAAGGCGCGCGCGGGGGCCGCGGGCCGGGAACCCCCCGGCGCGGCCCGCACCCGCCGGGUGCGGGUUGAGGGCACGUGGGGGAGAGAGAGGGGCCUCUCUCUCUCUCUGUCUGCUCUCUCUCUCUCUCUCUCCCUCUGUUCUCUCUCUCCCCCCCUCCCCCUNCCUUUCUGUCUGUUCUCUCUCUCCCCCCCCUCUCUGUCUGUUCUCUCUCUCCCCCUCUCUCUGUCUACUCUCUCUUUCUCUCUCUGGCCUCUUUCUCUCUACCCCUCUCUCUCGCGCGUGCUGCGGGCGCGGGUGGCCUGCACGCAGGCCCCCCGUUCUCUUUCUUUCUCUCCCUUUCUCUUUUCCUCGCGAGCGCGGAGAAGCGGCCACGUCGGCCACAGGAGAACUCUCGAUUCAAUUUAUCUAUAGAUAGAUUCGAUUUGUUUUCUUACUAUAUAAUUUAAGUAAUAAAUAUACCAGUGAAACUGUACAAACAUACUACGCAUUUAUCAAUUAUUUUUUUCCAACACCUGUUUCCUUACCAUGAAUUGAGUUUCAAUUUUUUUUUUUUUUUCCCUAUACUAGCGAAAGCUUGAAUGCAACGCAUGCAUUGCGCAAAAAUAAAGGAAAAAAAAAUUAAGGAGAUAGUUAUACUUGUAUAAAUUUUAUCUGGUUAUAAUUAUCUAAUCUGAUAGAAAAAUAAGAAGAAUUAUACUAGAUUUAUUCAAAUUUGUUUUAUCUAUAGAGCAAUACUUCAAUACACCAUAUAAAUCUUUACCAUUUAUUUAGAAAAAUAGCUGAGAUAUAAUAUGACUCUAGGGGUGCGUUUGGUUCGCGCUAUCUUUUAAAGAUUCUUAAUAAUCCAAUGGGAAUAAAAAAAUGUGACGGUGUUUGGCUAAACGUACUAAGUAAUCUAGUUAGUAAUAUUGGAUUCACUUGGGAAUAAGAUUCACCCCAAAGUACUAAUCUCAUUCCCUUGAGGGAGGGUGGGUAUUCUCAUAUUAAUGGAUUGAGGUAAUCAUAAUAUGUCUAAUCUCUUUUUUUCUUCCUACCCGCCAGCUAAUUGAUAUUAUUUUUCUUUACACUCUAACCCUAUAUCUCUCUCUAAACUUAUAUUUCUCUCUAAAAUUCAACUUUUUUUUCUCUCUCUAAACUAAGCUUUCUCUCUCUCUCUCUUUCUAAAAUUUCAACUCUCUCACUCCCUCUAAUUUCGACUAUAUUUUUCUUUUUAUUUUUUUAAUUAUACUCGUUCUCCCUUUUUUCUAAAAAUAUAUUGAAACUUUUGGUAACAUUAUUUAAAAUUAAAUAAAUUAAUUAAUUAAUUAAUUGUAUAUUUUUUGUAAUAUUAAAUAACAUGGCUAAUUAAUAUUACUAUGCGAACCAAACACAGGAAUUCCGCAUUCUUAGUAAUAGGAUGAAUAGGAAUAAGAUUCUCGGAUAUCUUUUAUUCCUAGUAAUCUUUCAUAAUGCGAACCAAACCCACCCUAGAGGUGACCUACUAUUGAGUUAUAGGUGUCAUUCACCAUAUAUCUAUUUAGUGGGUAUUUUGGUUUUUACAGAAUAUUUUGGCCCAUUAGAUCAGUUUUAUCCAACUAAAAGUACUAUAAACUUUUCAAAUACCUACAACAAUAAUUAAAAUUUAAAUUACAUCCAAAUUGUAAAUUUUAUUUGGAAACAACAUAAAAAACUUAAUUAUGAAUCAAAUUCAACUUUUUAAAAUAAACUACAAAUUUAAAAUAGAACUUUCAGUUCAAAUUCAAAAUUUCAAUCUAAAUCAGAAAUUAAAAUUUGGCUUUAAGAUUAAGGACUUGUUUGGUUCAUCCAUUUUAGAUAUGGAAUGGGAAUCGGUUUGAGCAAAUCCGGUUAAUUUUGUUUGGUUCGCAUGAAUCGGUUUGGGAUUCCUAUUCCGGACUGGAAUGGGAAUGGCCCAUUAGCCUUCAACUUGAUUCCGGUCUUUUAGCUCGGAUUGAGAUUUCAUUCCGAAAGCCCACUAAGUUUUCAAAGCCCAUGUGACCAUCUCACCCUCCUUCUCUUCAUCCCUUUCUCAUAAAAAAAAAUAUAUAUAUUCUCUCUCAAAAUCCUAUUCCUAACCCACAUUAAAAGUUUUUAAAAAUAAAUUUGAUAUUUUUUUUGAAAAACUUAUUAGAGAAUAGUAUUAUAUUUUUUAUAAAUUUUAAAUAAUAUAAAUUUAUAUUUGAGAGUAAAAUUAGUAUUAUAGUAUCCUAUAAUUUUUUUAGUUUAUAGGAACCAAACAAUGAAAUGUGAAUAACUCAUUUCAAUUCCCAAUCCACAAAUAAACCAAACGUCUUGGAGAAGUGGGCCAUUCCAAUUACCAUUCUAAUUCAUUCCCAUUCCAUUAUCCAUUCCAAUUCCACCCUUAAACCAAACAAGCCCUAAAAGUACAAUUUAGAUUCAAAUUUUAAAAGUUUAAUUUAAAUUUCAAAAUUAAAAUUUUACAUUACAAUACCAAAUUCAAAAAUUAAAUUAAAAUUUAAAAUUUAUAGGAUACUAACAAAUUUGGUAUAUACUACUAAUUCUUUUCUAAUAUUGUCAUAUUAACUAAUCCAAAUCUGUAACCUGUUCAGCAGGUUAAUUUAUUUAAAAUCCAACAAUCCAUACCCUUUACUAAUUAAGGAUUAGAUUUUAAAUUCAUGGUGUAUUGAUGAAACAUUACUCUUAAUUUAAAAGUUAAAUCAUGUCAGUACGCUAAAAACUUUUGGAGAAUAAAAUCAAAUAAAAAUUUAUAAGGGCAUAUUUCAAAUAUAAACGUAUUUUCAGAAUAGGAUGGGUAUUUCGAAAGAAAAUUUUACGGACCUAAGAUUUUUUAUUGGCUCUCAUGUACACACCUGCACGAGAAAAAAAAAAAGGAAAAAAUAAAAAAAUAAAUAAACUUAAAAAAUAAUUUUAAAGACUGUAUUUUUAGGAGAAAAUUUGCCAGAUUUAAGAUCCGUCAAAUUUUUGUUCGUUAUUUUGUAUAUAGUACAGAUUUAAGAUCUCACAUAGAAGAUGUGAUUUUUCGUCAUUGGUCAUCAAUUCCUUCCAUUGUCCUUUAUACUGCACACACCUCACCUUUUUUUUCUUCGGAAAUAUGUAAAUAAUCUAUUUUAUAGUUGGAACUGUCCCCUUAUUAGUUUCUUUCUUGUUCACCUAUUUAUUUUGUGGAUGUGAAACUUGGUUCUGAUUUUUUUAAUUUGUACUUCUCAAUUUGUUUUUUUUAAAAAAAAUUUUUGAGAUUCAGGUGAUCCUCUCCAUGGAUUCAAGCCAACGUAUGCAGUAUUUCUCAAUGUCGGCCAGCUGUGUCAUCAUUUGCAUAAACACUAUUAUUUAUUUGUCCUCUAGAUUGUUUCUAUAAACUCUGAUGCUGUUAUCGUAUGUAUUUUUUGUUUCAGUUUAUUCUUUCAAUCGCGUACUCUGUGUGUUGUUUUGCACAAUAAUGUAUAACGUAUGAUAUAUAGUAAUAUUCGAUGGGACUUAUUCUGUAAGGAAAAUAUUAUUGAUAAUAAUGUGCCGUUUUGUUGAAACAUUUGCAUCUGCACUAACUUGAUUUUUCGUAUUCUCGAUGGAUUUACUACUAUUAUAUACUUUACGAAGACUAACCAAAACACAAUACAAGGAACUCUUACAAUACAAGACAAAUAGAAGCAACUUCUAUCCAGUUGGGGGCGUUUGAUUGAGAAAAUGGAUAAAAGUGGCAGGCUGUGGAAAGGAUAGUUUCGAUCUACUAUGGGCAUGCUGACUUAAUCUAUCAGUAAUGGGUUGUCUAGCAUAUUUUGAUCUUACAGAUGGUUGAAAGAGUCUAUUUUACCCAAUCACUUUAUAGGGAAAGUUACAUAGGACUAACUUUCUAAUUAUUGCGAUUACUUUCUUAACCUUUUUCUCGGUAUUUUAAUUGGAUCUAUUCUGUUGUAAUCUCCAUUAAUUUGUAUGGAUCUUCCCAUCUCAGUAACAAUGUAAUGCAGAUAAAUCUCGUGGACUGAUUGUUUAAAUACCUGAAGAAGUCAAUCAAAGCGAAUAUUUGAACAACAAUCGACUAAACAAAAGCCUAGCACGUCACCCAAUCCGCACUCUGAAAAACACGCAAUUUAUAGGAACACUUGAAGAGCUUAUAAGAAAGUGGAGUACAACACUCAAAAAAGUUAACAUUUGCUAAUUAAAAUCUAUGAGCUCACUUUUAGUCUCAUAUUUGUUUAUAUGUUUUACUUAAAUAAAUAAGCAUAUUCCGCCUAUGACAUUAUUUAUUUCAUUCCGGAAAAAAGUGCACAAUUGUAGUAGAUAAACUACGUGCUCUUCACAUUGAUCAAUUACUGCAUGCCCUGCCCCUUAAGUAGUGAACAAAAGCAGUGCUCAAAAAGAGAAGUGCUGAACAAAACGUUCACGCAUCCAACAGCGUACCGAGAUAAGAUGCAAUUGAGAAGUGCUGAACAAAAUGUUCAUGCAUCCAACAGCGUACCAAGAUAAGAUGCAAGCGGCGUUUGUUUCACUCUCACACACAAAUUACAACCACAGUUUAAGAUCAGGAUGCCUAAGCAUGACCAUCUUUUCCUCUUUCUGCCUUCCUCCCUUUUUUUCACUUUCCAAUAAACAAACUGCAAAUAUGGAAUAAAUUCUAAAACUCAACGCAUUUUACCUUCUUCACAAAAUACCUUAAAAAGAAUGAAAACGAGAAUAAAAUGGUUCAAUUUUAAGGAGAAGGAAGGGUAGUUGCAAAUUAUAUUAUAUGACCAGAAAUGUAUAUUACAAGGAUCUUUCAACCAUUUUGGACCUGAAAAAGGUAGCACGAAAACAAUUUAAACAAGAAGAAAAAAGUGAUGCUAAGAAAAUAUAGUUAAGCAAACAUUUAUACACAACAGUAAGAUAAUAUUGGCACUUCAAGUUUAAUCGGGCAGUCAUAAGAAGCGCAAAGCUCAUUUUACAGGUUGAACUUCAAUAGCUAUGUAGCUAACUCGCUUUCCGAACAGAACAUCAAAAUGCAAAUAAGCAUUUCCACUAUCUGACUGAAUUGAUUGAAUGCAAAUGCAACUGUCAAAAUUACUUUGGCAUGGCAAGUAAGAUCCAUGACUAGUUCAUCAGUUUCAUCCCAAAACUCAAUUUAAAAAGACAAAUAUAUGGCAUAAUUUGCAUUUAAAAUGUUAGUUAUAUACAGUUUUAUGUAAAUAUAUUGAAUAAUAAAUAUAUCUCUAUAUUCAACUUUUUAUAUUUAUCUCUGCAAAGGUCCUAAUGUUAUUAAAUAUGCCUCUACUAUUAGAAUCCGUUAAAAAAUUAUAGUUAACUAUAGGUAAAAUACUUAACUCUGGUUAGUGAAUGAGGUAAAUUGAUUAUUUUAUCUUUUUAUAUUAUUUGUGAUGACAGAAAGAAAGAUGUCCAUUUGAAAUUUUUGGAAGGAUAAUUUUGUAUAAUUCUAACCGUUGAGACUUUAGGAGGGAUAUAUUUAUGAUGACAAAAAUAUCCUUUCACUUAUCUUCUGUUAAAAAAUAAAUUGUUGCCUAGAUCCAAUAUUGUUUGCACGGAAUCUACUUUUUAAUAGUU